UGGGGAAUAUUGCACAAUGGGCGCAAGCCUGAUGCAGCGACGCCGCGUGAGGGAUGACGGCCUUCGGGUUGUAAACCUCUUUCAGUAGGGAAGAAGCUUUCGGGUGACGGUACCUGCAGAAGAAGCGCCGGCUAACUACGUGCCAGCAGCCGCGGUAAUACGUAGGGCGCAAGCGUUGUCCGGAAUUAUUGGGCGUAAAGAGCUCGUAGGCGGCUUGUCGCGUCGGAUGUGAAAGCCCGGGGCUUAACCCCGGGUCUGCAUUCGAUACGGGCAGGCUAGAGUUCGGUAGGGGAGAUCGGAAUUCCUGGUGUAGCGGUGAAAUGCGCAGAUAUCAGGAGGAACACCGGUGGCGAAGGCGGAUCUCUGGGCCGAUACUGACGCUGAGGGGCGAAAGCGUGGGGAGCGAAC
RNAcentral lists this ribosomal RNA (408 nucleotides) under uncultured bacterium. RNAcentral describes it as "bacterial SSU rRNA". It matches the Rfam family "Bacterial small subunit ribosomal RNA", at positions 355 to 773 of the family's 1533-position model. The record is from RNAcentral.